GAUGAACGCUGGCGGCGUGCCUAAUACAUGCAAGUCGAGCGAACAGACGAGGAGCUUGCUCCUCUGACGUUAGCGGCGGACGGGUGAGUAACACGUGGAUAACCUACCUAUAAGACUGGUAUAACUUCGGGAAACCGGGGCUAAUACCGUAUAAUAUAUUGAACCGCAUGGUUCAAUAGUGAAAGACGGUUUUGCUGUCACUUAUAGAUGGAUCCGCGCCGCAUGAGCUAGUUGGUAAGGUAACGGCUUACCAAGGCGACGAGGCGUAGCCGACCUGAGAGGGUGAUCGGCCACCCUGGAACUGAGACACGGUCCAGACGCCUACGGGAGGCAGCAGUAGGGAAUCUGCCGCAAUGGGCGAAAGCCUGACGGAGCAACGCCGCGUGAGUGAUGAAGGUCUUCGGAUCGUAAAACUCUGUUAUUAGGGAAGAACAAAUGUGUAAGUAACUAUGCACGUCUUGACGGUACCUAAUCAGAAAGCCACGGCUAACUACGUG
This 497-nucleotide ribosomal RNA is filed under the name uncultured bacterium. Its description in RNAcentral is "partial 16S ribosomal RNA". It matches the Rfam family "Bacterial small subunit ribosomal RNA", at positions 28 to 507 of the family's 1533-position model. The record is from RNAcentral.